UAUGCUCAUUGUGAAUGUUCUUAGCCAUUUUGAAGAGCUGUUUGUCUGUACAUGUUCAACAGGAAAUGACCAGCUGGCUGUAUGGCUGCACACAGAUGAGUGGCUCAAUGUGUGUUCAGGCAGUAGAUCUCUCACCUCAGACAGAACUUCUUCCAGCUUAUAAGGCUGUAACAGUAAAAAUCAGUGAGCUUUUGUCUGUUUCUCAUCUCAUCAUUGAUGCCUCGAACCCCAGUGGAGCACAGGUUAGAGGUUAAUACAGUCCACAUUAUCAUGUUCGUA
This 279-nucleotide long non-coding RNA is filed under the name Sinocyclocheilus anshuiensis. RNAcentral's name for it is "lncRNA (ENSSANG00000000601.1)". The record is from RNAcentral. Lineage: Eukaryota; Metazoa; Chordata; Actinopteri; Cypriniformes; Cyprinidae.